This is a non-coding RNA of Paramuricea clavata, 2244 nucleotides long. The record is from the annotation of a GenBank genome assembly. NCBI's taxonomy places the organism in Eukaryota, Metazoa, Cnidaria, Anthozoa, Malacalcyonacea, Plexauridae.
UGAGUAUGGAACUAAUGUCAAGUCGCAAUGUUCGUUAAAAAUAUAAUUUCUGGGUUUAAAAGUAUGCUGUCGAUGCAUUAUCAAAAUGUUUGAGGUAUUUUGUGGAAAUUAAUUUGCUUCAAGGCUCCAGCAAUGAAAUUUUGUUGUCAAAGACACCUAACCACUUAACAAUUGAUCUCAGAUGGAUUACAACGAAUUCGAAUCGACUUCUCUUAGCAUCUAAACAUCGCGAUAAAAGCAUUACUUUCCAUACUCAAGUGAAAAUUUCGAUCACCAAAAACACUUAGUUCGUAUCCAAAAAUGUAAAAGAAUGUUCGAUUUAUUUUGUCUUUGAGCCAUAUAUAUUUUUGUAAUUGUGAAACAACUCGAUGUCACGCUUUAGAUUUCUCCGUCAAACUCGUAAAAUUUAUCAUUAGAGUUGCUUUAUAAUUAUUUAUCUUGAAGUAUAAACUUUUAUCUUGAAAAGAUCAAGUUCUCUUGUUUCCUCAGGAAUUAACUUUUCAAUGUUAAUUCAUGGGGAAACAUGUUUAAUGUUGUGUUUGUUCACUUGUGUUGAACACAAUGUUAAUUGUUCUCCUUGUGCCAUGUUCUGUUUUCUUCUAUUGUUAUUUAAAUAAGUACAAUAUGCAGUGGUUGUUCUCUUUUUUAUUGUUAUUCAAAUUGUAAUAUUUACAAGUUCUUUUCAAUAAAUUGUUCAUUAAUUAUACAAGAGACUCCUUUUUAAUUAAAAAUUCAAUUCCCAUGGGAAUUGAAAAAAAAAAUAAAAAAAAUCCCUCUACCCCGGCCGGCUCCCCAAGUGCUACCUCUACUUCAAGCAGAAGCAAAAGUACUUCUGCUUAAAGUAGAGGUAGCACUCGGAGAGCCAGCCGGGGUAGCGGGGCGAAGAGAAGACCGACCUUGCAAAUGCUAAUGCAAAUUGCUAAGUUGAUCUUCUCUUGAGAGCAGCCACGCGCAUACCUAGCGAAUGUAAAACAACAAACAAUUAGUAACAAAUACUCGACAUGCAAAUUUUGAAUCCCAUGGCCGAAAUGACAAGUGCCCCCCACUGAUUCCUACCAACUGCCUACCUGCCUCAAUCCUAAGCUGUCUGCCUCGGUCCUAAGCUGUCUGCCUCGUUCCUAAGCUACCUGCAUUCCAUUCGUAACUUCCGCAUUCCUCACCAUCGCACAGACACUCACAACUGUCCAACCCGCCACCAGCCCGAACUGCCCACCCUUAAGACUGAAGGAAUUAAAAUUUUGGUAAAGUAUACAUAAUUAAUUUAAUUAAUUCGGAUAUUUUAGGCCAAACGUAAACAAAUAAAUUAAAGGUUGACGAAAACGAAAGACCGCGUAUAGAAAUAAGGUGAGUUGCUUACUUGCCUCUUUAUACAUGAAAUUUACUUUGAAAUUUAUACGAAAGUGACGAAACGUCUUAACCGGCAUGUUUUUUGCUCCAAAUAUUUUGAUAUGGCAGAAUAAAGUUAGUUUAAAUAAUAAAACUCGAUAAAUUUUCGUGAUUUUGAGAUAUAAAAGAUUUUUUAGCAAAGGCACUGGAUUGUUUUUAACUUAUACUUUCAAAAAUUCUAAUUCCUUUAGUUUAGCCUAACCCCAUGCAUCUUAUACACACGGCGCACACUCUCACACUCCAUACAUUUAGCUAAUAAAUUACCUUAUAAACAAAAAAGCAAAAUGAAAAGAUAAAUUACGUUAUCACUGGCUGUCCUAUAACCCACUUAGACUGAGUUUUUUAUUUGGAUUCGAAACGUAAAACCUUAACUGAAAGGGCAUGGGCUUUAAAUUUUAUCAAUUGUCCGAAGUAAACAUAAACCGUAAACUUACCUAAACCAAAGGUUAGGUUAAAUAAGCAUGAGAAUGCAUAGAGACUUUGGAGUUCUAAAUUUUUUAUAUGUAAAACUUAAGUCAAGUUAUUAGUCAUCAAUUGCCGCACCAGGUAGUUAAAAAAAAGAAGACUUAAUUGUCUUUAGCUAUUGAACUAUGUUUUUUACGACCAUAUAGUACAGUUUAUCUAUAUAGUGCACACGCAUCGAAAUAUUAAGACGCAACUUAAUCGCAAUUCUCAUACUCAUUUAACCGGAACACCUUAAUUCAUUUGCAUGAUACGUCGCAGCUGCUCUCAAUUACUCAAAUUAUUUCCAUAAUUCGCUUUUGUAAACAAUGGCUAAUUGUUCCUGCUUACUAAAACAAACCCGAAAGUAACAAGAUACGUAUUGUAUUUAAUCAAAGAGGAUUCAUUAUAAAGUCA